This 420-nucleotide ribosomal RNA is filed under the name Stellarima microtrias. RNAcentral describes it as "SSU rRNA". It matches the Rfam family "Eukaryotic small subunit ribosomal RNA", at positions 591 to 1012 of the family's 1831-position model. Lineage: Eukaryota; Bacillariophyta; Coscinodiscophyceae; Coscinodiscales; Coscinodiscaceae. The record is from RNAcentral.
UCAAUAGCGUAUAUUAAAUUUGUUGCAGUUAAAAAGCUCGUAGUUUGAAUUCUGGCCGGAGCGGUUGGUGCGACUCUCUGAGUUGUUACUUGCAUCGUCUCUGGCCAUCCUUGGGGAGAACCUGUCUGGCAUUAGGUUGUCGGGCAGGGGGUACUCAUCGUUUACUGUGAAAAAAUUAGAGUGUUCAAAGCAGGCUUACGCCGUUGAAUAUACUAGCAUGGAAUAAUAAUAUAGGACCCUUGUACUAUUUUGUUGGUUUGUGCACGAGGGUAAUGAUUAACAGGGACAAUUGGGGAUAUUUGUAUUUCAGUGGAAGAGGUGAAAUUCUUGGAUUUCUGAAAGACAAACAACUGCGAAAGCAUUUAUCAAGGAUGUUUUCAUUAAUCAAGAACGAAAGUUAGGGGAUCGAAGAUGAUUAGA